GCUCGCGUUGCCCCACGUGGCCGGCCGCCCCGGGCCCCACGUGGACGGGGCGGAGGAGGAAGGAGGGCGAGCGGAGGGCGAACUCCGAACCGCUGCGGCGAGACCCCAGUCUCUGCUCCGAGGCCCAGCGCCUCCCGAGAGCCUCCCGGGCGGGGCCGUGCCGGGGGCGGGCUGGGGACUGGCUGCCGCGCCCGCCCGCCGCCGCCGCGCCUAUGUGCACUUUCACGCAGCCACUAAUCCCCCGAGAGCCGAUUUGUAGUGAGGAGUCUCCGUUGGGGGCGAGACCAGCCCAUGUAGGGUUGUGUCAUUGGUUUGCAAAGAGAGACCCCGCCUUUGCAAAAAAAAAAAAAAAAAAAAAAAAAAAAGGGAGCGAGGAGUGAGUGAGCGGCGACCCUCACCUCGACUCUCGCCUCGCUCCUGCGCAGCCGGCGUCCGCCGGCAGACGCGGCCAGUGCCGCUUCUUUCCUUUUCCUUUUCUCCGUUUUCCUCCUUUCUCGGAGAAGAAAACAAAUAAAGAAGAGCAAACAGCCGGGAGGCGCUCGGCAUCCAGGACGUUCCCUCCCCCGAUCCAAGUUGGAAUCCGCAUCCUCUCGGGGGUGGCUCGGGAGUGGCCCGGAGGAGCCGGCGGUGGCCCGAGGAGCGAGGGACGGAGCCGGGAGCCAUGCCGCGCUGAGGGGGGGCUGCCAGCCACCGCCACCGCCGCCGGGUGGGGUGGGAGGGGCGGGAGCCGCCGCCGCCGCCGCCGCCGCCUCCCGGGUGGGCGCCCUUCGCCGUGGACGCCGGCGGCCCCGGACGAGGGCCUGAGGAAACACGUUAAGUACAGCAGUUCCCAGUAAGGAGAGCAACCAUGGACCUUUGUAUGUGAUCUGCAGCCCUUGAGCUGUGAACACUCAGCUAACUUAGCCUAGAGCCUGCUGAGAGGUCCACCUUUCCGCAUCCCCCAGGAUAUCUAGUGCGCCUGUCUGGCCCCCAGGAAUCCCCACAGUGCCUCUCACCCUUGCCACUCUCUCAGGUUGGUUGGCCGUUGCAGUUUGAACUUCUGCAUUGAUAUUCUAAGGGGGACAUCUUGUUUUGAGGGAAGAGGGACACUUCAAAACAUGCC
This 1102-nucleotide long non-coding RNA is filed under the name Heterocephalus glaber (naked mole-rat). RNAcentral's name for it is "lncRNA (ENSHGLG00100034159.1)". The record is from RNAcentral. Lineage: Eukaryota; Metazoa; Chordata; Mammalia; Rodentia; Bathyergidae.